This 497-nucleotide ribosomal RNA is filed under the name uncultured bacterium. RNAcentral's name for it is "partial 16S ribosomal RNA". It matches the Rfam family "Bacterial small subunit ribosomal RNA", at positions 28 to 507 of the family's 1533-position model. The record is from RNAcentral.
GAUGAACGCUGGCGGCGUGCCUAAUACAUGCAAGUCGAGCGAACGGACGAGAAGCUUGCUUCUCUGAUGUUAGCGGCGGACGGGUGAGUAACACGUGGAUAACCUACCUAUAAGACUGGGAUAACUUCGGGAAACCGGAGCUAAUACCGGAUGAUAUUUUGAACCGCAUGGUUCAAAAGUGAAAGACGGUCUUGCCGUCACUUAUAGAUGGAUCCGCGCUGCAUUAGCUAGUUGGUAAGGUAACGGCUUACCAAGGCAACGAUGCAUAGCCGACCUGAGAGGGUGAUCGGCCACACUGGAACUGAGACACGGUCCAGACUCCUACGGGAGGCAGCAGUAGGGAAUCUUCCGCAAUGGGCGAAGGCCUGACGGAGCAACACCGCGUGAGUGAUGAAGGUCUUCGGAUCGUAAAACUCUGUUAUUAGGGAAGAACAUAUGUGUAAGUAACUGUGCACAUCUUGACGGUGCCUAAUCAGAAAGCCACGGCUAACUACGUG